AAGCGCAUGCAAACGAUUGGUCGGUGAUACACGUACGAGCAUGAAGCAACACAAAUUUACCAUUUAAAUUGCGGACAGAAACAAAUUUAGCGUAGCUUAAUUUUCACACGCCAAUCAAACGUUCCACAGUUGCCCGCACGAAACCGACACAGCUAGCAACGUCAGUGUAUCGCCUACCACACGCUAGCGCACCUCGUACCGUUCAGGCAGGCACGCACACACACGCCUGCAAAAAAGAACGAACCUUCAACGCGUGCGGUUGUGUCGUCGGUCGUCCGAUUCCGGUGCGGUUCCAGUGGAAUGGUUUAAAGCAAGAUUAUUCUCUUCGGUGCGCCGCGCAAAGUAGUCCAGUGCCGUGAGAGUGCCGUGUGUGUAAGCGCGUGCGCCGUGUCUGCUGUUGAUCGUGAAAUUAAGCCUUUUCCCGCUCGUGCUCUGCUGUGAAGCAACGGUCGCAAGGGAGAGGGUGGCUUCUGGGGGGGCUAGCGAGCUAAAGGCUAGGGGCAGUGGAAGCAAAAAGGGCAGGAAGAUUUGCAAGCGCUUGCAAUGUUGCCACGGCCUGAAGCGCUCAAGUGUUCCGGAGCCGCAUGGAUCGAUCAAGCCACCGCUGGCCUGCUGCUGCACCGUCACCACGGCGAGUCUUGGUGAGCGGGCGUGACGACGCCAGUCCCUUAGAGCGUGCUAAAACUCCGAGCGUCGUGUGCGCGUUGUGUCCUGUGUGUAUGGUGGAUGAAAAUUAAGUAAAAAGAAGAAGAAGAAAAAGAAAAUAAGCCGCAAUAAUAUUUCCUUUUCUUUCGGUGGGAGUUUUUUUUUGCGUGGCAAAAUUUGAAAAAAGAAAUCGAGUGUUGUGUGUGAAGCGCGCUGUAUCGAUUGCGUGUGCAUUUUUGUGCAAUUUGUGGGCAAGAAGUUGCGUAUGCGUGUGUUUG
Long non-coding RNA from Anopheles merus, 923 nucleotides. RefSeq lists it as uncharacterized. NCBI's taxonomy places the organism in Eukaryota, Metazoa, Arthropoda, Insecta, Diptera, Culicidae. The record is from RefSeq and is a predicted model, not a curated record. The transcript is spliced from 4 exons.